CUUCUUCGCUUAGAUAAUGCCAUUUUGCUUGCCUUACAUGGCGCUGUUAUUUUUCGCCUCGUGGAAAAAUACUCGUCUGAGCUUUCCUUACUUUGCAUGUUGGACGAGACAAGCGCUUUAUUUAAGUUGCACCACUCCUCUGGGCCGAGCAAACUAUUUUUAGGAAAACGUUACAUCUUUUUGUUUAGCUGACGGAAUUUGCGCAGUUUUCUUUUCAACAGGCACGUUAGAGCGGUCGUCGUCCGGUGUUGACGGCACAGAUCCCCGUCCCAGCAAACAAAGGAGCAGUAAGAUCGUUGCCCGCUUUUUAGCGCAAUCUAAAAGUAGCAUUAUUGAUUAAAUCAUUUGGAUGUAAACUAGCCCCGACGCCGUUUUAGUUUUUUGUAUUUGAGAAGUCUUUGUCUCAAGUAUAAUAAACAGUUUAGCCUGACUCAUUCAGUCCUGUUAGCGUCAUCGGCUAAGGUUAGCCGAUUCUGUGGACAAUUAGCGAGCUAACCGCUAGCAUUGUUUUGCUUCUGCGAGUAAGUUUUAUUUUUGCGGGGAAAUGGCUGAGGUGUACAUUCGAGUGGCGGAGGAAGAAAAUGAGGAGCCCAUGGAGAUUCCCUCCGAAGACGACGGCACUGUUCUUCUUUCCACCGUGGCGGCUCAGUUUCCUGGGGCUUGCGGCCUGCGGUUCAGGAGCCCCGUGUCUCAGUGCAUGAGAGGAGUGCGACUCGUGGAAGGGGUCCUGCACGCGCCAGAAAAUGGAUGGGGGAAUGUCGUGUACGUGGUGAACUAUCCAAAAGACAAUAAAAGAAAAAUGGAUGAAAUAGAUGCCUCUUCUGCCGUGAAAAUGAAGAGGGGAGAUAUGAAAACAUCGGACCUGAUUGUAUUGGGUCUUCCUUGGAAAACGACCGAACAGGACCUUAAAGACUACUUUAGCACGUUUGGAGAAGUCAUCAUGGUUCAGGUGAAACGGGAUGCCAAGACCGGAAACUCUAAAGGAUUUGGCUUUGUGAGGUUCACAGAGUAUGAAGCUCAGGAAAAGGUGAUCUCUCAGCGCCAUAUGAUCGAUGGGAGGUGGUGCGACUGCAAGCUCCCUAACUCGAAGGUGAAUAUGCAAGGUCCUGAUGAGCCACUAAGAAGCCGCAAAGUGUUUGUAGGCCGUUGCACGGAAGACAUGACCACAGAUGAUCUACGACAGUUCUUUAUGCAGUAUGGAGAAGUCACAGAUGUGUUCAUUCCCAAGCCAUUCCGUGCUUUUGCCUUUGUUACAUUUGCAGAUGAUCAGGUUGCCCAGUCUCUCUGUGGAGAAGACCUUAUUAUCAAAGGAGUCAGUGUUCACAUCUCAAAUGCUGAGCCCAAACAUGGCAAUAGGCAGUUUGAUCGCACAGCACGAUUCGGAAAUGGUUUUGGGGCUCAAGCAUUUGGUAGCAGCCGUAGUGGGUUAGGGAGCAGCACUAACAGUAGUCUGGCUAAUUUUGGUUCCUUCAGCUUGAACCCUGCCAUGAUGGCUGCUGCACAGGCUGCUCUGCAGAGUAGUUGGGGUAUGAUGGGUAUGCUGGCUAGCCAGCAGCAGACAUCCACCUCAGGCAGCACCUCCAGUGGAACGAGCUCUAGUAGAGACCAGAGUCAGUCUUUCAGUACAGGCAACAGUAACUACGGCACCAGCUCAGCCAGUCUUGGCUGGGGAACAGGGUCAAACUCUACAACCAGCGGUAGUGGGUUUAGCUCAGGUUUUGGGUCCAGCAUGGAGUCAAAGUCAUCUGGGUGGGGUAUGUAAGUUAAGUGUUUGUAUGGUAAGUACUGCGAGAAAGACGAGUCAUUUCGAAAUUUAUUUCUGGUGUUGAUGCGUAUCUGAAAACUUAACACUUUUGCGUGAAGAUGUUUUGUACAUUUGGAAAAAAAUGCUAAAGAUUUAAUUUAGGAAGUGUUGAAGUGAAUUGUUUACCAGGAUGUCUGAGAAAAGUGCUAUUUUUGAUGUCUCAUUUGUUUGUAUCCAUUUCAACUGGAUUCUCUAAUGCAUGUAUUGUGAAAUGUGAUAACCAUUUUUGAAAAUGCAUGAAUGUUCGUGGUUCACCAUUAUCCGGCAUUGUCAUCGACCUAAAAGGCAAUCUUGCAUUGGGAAGAAUCUGGUUGAAACAUAAAUGUUUUAAGUGCAACUUUAUUUGCAGUCAAGUUCUAUGGAAAAGCCUUCAUUGAAAUCUCUUCUGCAGUUCACCUCUCUUCCAUUUCCCUGCGAGGAAGCUCCUCUUUGGCAGCAUUCUUGGGGUGAUAUCGGUAUCAUUCUCCCUCUUCCCACCUGUAAAUGCUAUGCCAUCAAAGAACGGCUUCACUCCGCAUGUUCUAAGAGACGGGACUUUGGGCUCUGCUGGUCGAGGUCUCCGUUUGAACCCUGACUGAAGUCUGUUCUGAAGGAAGAAGAUGGAAGUUCCAACACUUUCAGUGUGUGGCCUUCUCAGACAUGGGGUAGUACCUGUCUUUUUGCUGCUUUUGAUGGCUUGUUCGUGAAUGAUCCCCUUUUUUUAAAUUAUCCACACUUAUGAGGUACUGGGAAGGUAAAACAGUCCAGCUCAGCAAUGUGGCUUUGCUUUCCUUCAGCAAUAUUCUCUCUCUCUCUACUAGAGCUAAUGUCAGGUUUCUGUGCCUUGGAAUUGGGGAUUUGUUUUAAGAGUCUCACUGAAAAACAUGAAGGGAACAGUUUCUGUAGGGUCCCUUUGUCGAAUGCUUUAAAAAUCAAGUUUAAUGUUUCAUUCAUACAUGGUAACAAAUCAGGUCAAAAUUGUUACAUGCACUAAAAUUCAACAUCACAUUAGCAGAUCCUGGGAUGGAACUUUUCAUUUAUUUGCUCCAAAUCUUGGCUACAUAACUGUUUUGACAGGCACAUGUCCCAUGAAAGAAUUAGGACUUUUGUUGGCUCUUGGCUUUAUCAGAUACAUGUAAGUCAGUCUUCAUGUUUAUUUGAUUGAUUGGGCUCAAGUCAGAUACCGCAGGCUUGCCUGUGUCCUGUCCUUAUUCUCUGCUUUCCUCCUCAGUUUCUGUGUUCUUUCUCUUUGCAGUAGUCUUCUUUUUUAAACUCAUGUGCUCCUGGGUCAGUUCGUCACUUUUAUUUUGUAUGUGGAUGGACUGAAAUAAAUAAAGACAAAUUAAACAUUAAA
This is an RNA transcript of Haplochromis burtoni (Burton's mouthbrooder), 3137 nucleotides long. It is a transcript of the gene named TAR DNA binding protein b, with no coding region annotated. NCBI's taxonomy places the organism in Eukaryota, Metazoa, Chordata, Actinopteri, Cichliformes, Cichlidae. The transcript has 6 exons. The record is from RefSeq and is a predicted model, not a curated record.